UUUAUUUUUCUUUCUUUUGUCAGAUAAAAAAGUAUGGAUUAUAAAUGUAGAAUCAAAUUAUCACAGAUUUAUUAUCUAGACUAUUAAAUAAACAGUAUGCCUUUAAGUCAGAAAGAGAGAGGAGAGCUGCCUCUUUAAAUGUCAGGAAAAUAAAAUAAGGAGAAGAGCAGUGACAAAGGAUAAUUUGAUGGCGAGGCAUGGGAAGAACAGCUGCCUGCAAAAUUUUGGAGGCAUUAGAGCCAGAAGUCCCUUAGAAGAUAGGUAA
RNAcentral lists this long non-coding RNA (265 nucleotides) under Dasypus novemcinctus (nine-banded armadillo). Its description in RNAcentral is "lncRNA (ENSDNOG00000052569.1)". The record is from RNAcentral. Lineage: Eukaryota; Metazoa; Chordata; Mammalia; Cingulata; Dasypodidae.